Molecule: long non-coding RNA, 1742 nt
Organism: Musa acuminata AAA Group (dessert banana)
Lineage: Eukaryota; Viridiplantae; Streptophyta; Magnoliopsida; Zingiberales; Musaceae
Exons: 2
Source: RefSeq, a predicted model, not a curated record
UCUUCGAGAAACAGAGAGAAGCGGUGGGGCGUGGGGAGAAGAAGAAGAGAAGUAGAGGGAGAAGAGAAGAAGAGGGAAAAGAAGAGAGGAAGAAGAGGAAGAAGAGGGAGAAGAGAAGAAAAGAAGAAGUAGAAGAGAGGGAAGAUGGAGAGGAGAAAGAGAGGCAGCUGCAGCAGCUAGGGCUGCAGCACCUCUGUUUCCCGCAGGUGGAAACAGAGGAGAGGAUGUGUGGGGCGUUGAGGAUGAAAAGGGAAGAAGAAGAAGAAGAAGAAGAAGAAGAAGAUAGCUGCGGCAAGGCUGCAGCGAGGAGGUGUGUGGCGUUGGGGAGGAAAAGGGAAGAGGAGAAGAAGAGAAGGAGAAGAAGAGGGAAAAGAGAGGGACGGGGGAGAGGAGCGAGAGGUGGCAGCAGCUAGGGCUGCAGCACCUCUAUUUCCUGCAGGUGGAAACAGAGGAGAGGUGUGGGGCGUUCGAAGAGGAGAAGAAGAAGAAGAGGAAGCAGGAGAAGAGGUUGUGAUACCUCUGUUUCCUGCAGAGGAAACAGAGGAGAGGGUGUGUGUGACGCCGGGGAAGAAGGGGCUGCAGCUGCGGCGAUGGCAGCUGCAGUUGGAAGAGAAGAAGAAGAGGAAGAUGAGCAGGGGAGGAGGGAGAGGUUACGGCCGUGGCUGCGGCCGCGACUGCAGCAGUUGCAGCGGGGAGAGAAGAAGAAGAAAGGAAGGAGAAGGAAGAGGAGAAGGGAAAGAAGUAGCUGCGGCUGCAGUUGUGGCAGCUGCAGCUAUGGCAGGGAAAGAGGAAGAGAAAAAGGAAGGAAGAAGAAGAGAAAGGAAAGGAGAGGAAGAAGAGAGGAAGAGGAGAAGGGGCUGCGGCUGCGGCGAUGGCAGCUGCAGCUGUGGCUGGGAAAGAAGAGAAGGAAAGGAAGAAGAAGAGAAAGGGAAGGAGAGGAAGAAGAGAGGAAGAGGAGAAGGGGUGGCAGCUGCGGUAGUGGCAGCUGCAGUUGGAAGAGAAGUAGGAGAGGAAAUAGAGUAGCGGAGGAAGAAGAGGCUGCGGUUAUGGUGGCUGCGGCCAUGGCUGCGACUGUGACUGCGGCAGUUGCAGCUGGGAAAGAAAGGAAAGGAAAGGGGGAAAAAGGGGCUGCGGACGGGAUUGCGGCCGCAGCGGCAGCGACUGCGUAUGCAGCAGUUAUGUCUGCGAGAGAAGGGAGGAAGGAAGGUAGUGCGGUGGAAGGGGCUGCGAUUGUGGCAGCGGCAGCGGCGGCGGCUGUGGCAGCUGCGUUUGGGAAAGAAAAAGAAUGAAUGAGAGUAAGAGAGAGCAGGUGACUGUGCCUCGAUGUUCGACACAUGGUGUAGUUGCGAAGAAAGGAAGAAAACGGGAGCACAAAACGAAACAGAGAGAGGACACGGAGGAAAAGUAGAAGGAUUUGGGCUAGCACCUUCUUUGGAUCUUCGGAUCGAAAUCCUUGAAAGGUCAGCUUGUCACUCUUCGAGAUGUUUGAUUUGGGCUGAGGCAGUGGAUAGCUAUUCAGAAUUAUGGGCAAGUCCUGUUGGUUGUUAUGCUAUUGUUGUAUAAGCAUAUUUUGUAUGUAAUGAAUUGUUCUGAUGAUCGAAAUGGAUAUACUGUGUAAAAGUGUUAGAAGAUCUCUCUUAUUUGGAAUUUCGGAAUGUUAUGUCUAAUUUAUGACGAUAUGAACUUGUGGUGAAUAGUUGGAGUUCUGAUUGUAUAAUUUAUUUAGCUUGUGGAUUUAUAAA